This 1461-nucleotide long non-coding RNA is filed under the name Fukomys damarensis (Damara mole-rat). RNAcentral's name for it is "lncRNA (ENSFDAG00000032395.1)". The record is from RNAcentral. Lineage: Eukaryota; Metazoa; Chordata; Mammalia; Rodentia; Bathyergidae.
GACUGACAGGGAAAUUGCAAGCGAGGGGUAGAAAGAGAGCCAACCUCCCCUCCCCUCCACCACUGUGAAAAAUGAGCGCUUCUGCUGAAGAGCACACAGACCCUGGAGGAAACAGCCUACAGACCCAGAGCAGGGAGAGGACGACCAUCUAUAGCCGCAAGUGCAGAGUCAGCAAGAGCCAGGCUGACCCACCUGAUGGCUACCUGGCCCAUCACCAUCCGGCCACCCGGAGCCCCUGGGAGAGGCAGGAUGCACGGACUGCAGAUGGAGAAGGCUCCCACUCUCUGCGCUCUGUGGAGGUGUCACAAACACACCCAUGGAACACAGAUGAAAAAUGCAAACCUCAGAGGAGCAAAUGGAUGCACGCAGACUCCGGAAAAGGCACAAAGAGGACCGGGACCCUGGCCUCUCCUACUGCCUCUUCUUUCUUCUGCAACCCCAAGAGGAAGGGAAGCCCCGACCACCCCCAAACCUUCCCCGGUUAAAGUGAAAUGCUCCCCGUUUCCGGCUGCAGCCCUCUUCGGCCCGGGAGGGGUGGUCCCAGCCAGGGUUUCACCUCAUCCCUUGUCACAUGCCGGCAAGGCUGGCCAUGUCCCUCCAGCCCCUCAAGGGGCCACCUACAGCCCAACAGGGUGCGGACUCUAUCCCUGUCUCCCUCAGCAAUGCUGCAGGGCCGCAGCCCCAGCCCCAGGGGAGCCGCACCGGUGCCUAGGAGGUUGUGUGUUGUGCUAUUCCUGUUUGUGACUGACGGACAAGGACUGUGAGGCCAGCAGCGCAGGGGCAGAGUAACUGAUGUGGGAGACAAAAACCGCAAACAAAACCCCAGAAAACCAAAGCCAGUGAGCUCAACCUGAAGGGACAAAUUCCAGAGCAAAACAGAAAAGAGGAUAGGAAGCAAGGGGACGGGAAGGGGGUGGGUAGGGAGAGGGCGGGGAAGAACUGAGGCGCGUUUGGCACCUGUACCAGCUCCCCCAGUGAGCGGGGUCGCCAUGCGCUGCUGAUAUACAUAAAAGUCAAGGAGAGGAAAGGACAAAGGAGCACCAACAGACUGGCAUCUCCCGGAAAGCGGUGACUUUUGUUUGUUUUUUUCCCAGCUGUGCCCCCAGUGCCGAGCACAGUGCCUGGCACAUAGCAGUUGUUCUGAAAAAAUUUGUUGAAUGAACUGCUGCAUCGCAUGUAGUUUACACAAAGCCAGUGACACCCUUGUCUCCAAGGGGUGCUGGAGGAUCCAACUCCUCUGAGAUGUAGACGGGGGCGGGGCAGCAAAUGAAAUGCUUAGUUUAGGGCUGGGCUCAGAAAAUGUGAGCAGGGCACCUCCUAAGGUCGUGAUUACUGUUACGGUCUUCAGAGUGGGCUCUGUUGUAAAAUGUGACUCUGUUUUUAAAGAUGUGGUUCUGUUGUUCUUUGUUUUUAUAGUACAGUACCGAGGAUGGAAUCCAGGAACUUCACACGUCCCCAGCA